CAUUGUCGUAACCUGCGAAAGCAAAGCAACUCGCGAACACGUAGUCAACACUCGGGGAUUUGAGCGCGUCCUCCUCGGGGGACGCCCUUUCUCCCCAAAGUCGGGGCGGCCCGGCGCCCGUUGCGAGCUAACGGCCUUCGGGCCUUCCCGACGAAACAAAAAACCGGCGCGGAAUGCGCCAAGGAAUAUGAAAGAGAGUGCGCUCUUCCGGCGCCAGCUCGCGCUGCGCUCGGACGGGCGUCGUCUUCUUGAUGAGUUUAUAAUGACUCUCGGCAACGGAUAUCUCGGCUCUUACAUCGAUGAAGAACGUAGCAAAAUGCGAUACUUGGUGUGAAUUGCAGAAUCCCGUGAACCAUCGAGUCUUUGAACGCAAGUUGCGCCCGAAUCCAUCUGGUUGAGGGCACGUCUGCCUGGGUGUCACGUGCACGCGCCUCCCGCGAACCUUCCCCUUUAUGCGGACGAAGGGUCUCGCGGGAGCAGAUGUUGGUAUCCCGUGCCUGUUUCGCGCGGCUUGCCUAAAAACGGAGAUCCGGCGACGRAACGUCGCGUCUAGUGGUGGUUGAUGAGGCCUAACGGCCGAACCAGUUCGCGGCGCGACCGUUUGUCGCAAGAAAGUCUCGGACGACACCUCGGACGCCCCCUAACGGGCGUGCUACUGUCGCGACCCCAGGUCAGGCGGGACUACCCGCUGAAUUUAAGCAUAUCA
RNAcentral lists this unclassified non-coding RNA (706 nucleotides) under Saxifraga marginata var. bubakii. RNAcentral's name for it is "sequence contains ITS1, 5.8S rRNA gene, ITS2". The stretch from base 265 to 420 matches the Rfam family "5.8S ribosomal RNA". Lineage: Eukaryota; Viridiplantae; Streptophyta; Magnoliopsida; Saxifragales; Saxifragaceae. The record is from RNAcentral.